CAAUCAGCCGUCGAGUGCAAUGGCACAAGGGAGCUUGACUGCGAGACCUACAAGUCAAGCAGGUGCGAAAGCAGGGCAUAGUGAUCCGGCGGUUGCGUGUGGAAGCGCCGUCGCUCAACGGAUAAAAGGUACCCCGGGGAUAACAGGCUCAUCUUCCCCAAGAGUCCAUAUCGACGGGAAGGUUUGGCACCUCGAUGUCGGCUCAUCGCAUCCUGGGGGCUGAAGCAGGUCCCAAGGGUUGGGCUGUUCGCCCAUUAAAGCGGUACGCGAGCUGGGUUUAGAACGUCGUGAGACAGUUCGGUCCCCUAUCCUCUGCAGCCGGAAGGAACUUGAGAAAAAUCUGUCCCUAGUACGAGAGGACCGGGAUGGACGCAGCUCUCGUGUGCCAGUUGUCCUGCCAAGGGCACUGCUGGUUAGCGACCUGCGGAAGGGAUAAGCGCUGAAAGCAUCUAAGUGCGAAGCCCAUUUCUAGAUGAGGUUCCUCACUGGGUUAACCAGGUAAGGC
This 505-nucleotide ribosomal RNA is filed under the name uncultured bacterium. Its description in RNAcentral is "bacterial LSU rRNA". It matches the Rfam family "Bacterial large subunit ribosomal RNA", at positions 2335 to 2834 of the family's 2925-position model. The record is from RNAcentral.